CGUGUAGGCGGCCUCUUAAGUUUGGUGUGAAAGCCCGGGGCUCACCCCCGGAAGGGCACUGGAGACUGGGAGGCUGGAGUACCGGAGAGGAAGGUGGAAUUCCUGGUGUAGCGGUGAAAUGCGUAGAUAUCAGGAGGAACACCGGUGGCGAAGGCGGCCUUCUGGACGGAUACUGACGCUGAGACGCGAAAGCGUGGGGAGCGAAACAGGAUUAGAUACCCUGGUAGUCCACGCUGUAAACGAUGGGCACUAGGUGUUCGGGGUAUUGACCCCCUGAGUGCCGCAGCUAACGCAUUAAGUGCCCCGCCUGGGGACUACGGCCGCAAGGUUAAA
Molecule: ribosomal RNA, 333 nt
Filed under: uncultured bacterium
Lineage: Bacteria
Description: bacterial SSU rRNA
Rfam family: Bacterial small subunit ribosomal RNA
Source: RNAcentral